This is a long non-coding RNA of Cimex lectularius (bed bug), 401 nucleotides long. RefSeq lists it as uncharacterized. The transcript has 3 exons. The record is from RefSeq and is a predicted model, not a curated record. Lineage: Eukaryota; Metazoa; Arthropoda; Insecta; Hemiptera; Cimicidae.
CAUGUCACCAAUAAACCCCUACCCAAUAUGACAUUAAUGUAAACAAACAAAAAUAAUACUAGACUUUCAGCAUUUUAAUAAGUCGUGUUUGUACCAGAAAUAUAAGCAAAGGGUUUAAUCCGAAGUCUCUAGUAACUGGAAGUCACGAGUACAUCAAAGAAAUUUGAAUAAAUAAUGUAUAAAAUAUUGGUAAAUAUUUGUGUAGGUGCUAGGCUGUACUGUAUAAAAUAAUCGAAAGAAAUAGCAUUUUUAUACACUUUCAGAUUACCUAGGCUCUCUUAUUGGCUGGUAUAGGAUAACCGGACUUUGGUAAUUUUGUAUACUCUUAGAAGUGUUAAUGGUGUAAAUAUACAGUGGGCUGCUGUCAAAACCCAAGAAGUGUGAAUAACAGCACCUGUGCA